GACGAACGCUGGCGGCGUGCUUAACACAUGCAAGUCGAACGGAAAGGCCCUGCUUUUGUGGGGUGCUCGAGUGGCGAACGGGUGAGUAACACGUGAGUAACCUGCCCUUGACUUUGGGAUAACUUCAGGAAACUGGGGCUAAUACCGGAUAGGAGCUCCUGCUGCAUGGUGGGGGUUGGAAAGUUUCGGUGGUUGGGGUUGGACUCGCGGCUUAUCAGCUUGUUGGUGGGGUAGUGGCUUACCAAGGCUUUGACGGGUAGCCGGCCUGAGAGGGUGACCGGCCACAUUGGGACUGAGAUACGGCCCAGACUCCUACGGGAGGCAGCAGUGGGGAAUAUUGCACAAUGGGCGGAAGCCUGAUGCAGCAACGCCGCGUGCGGGAUGACGGCCUUCGGGUUGUAAACCGCUUUCGCCUGUGACGAAGCGUGAGUGACGGUAAUGGGUAAAGAAGCACCGGCUAACUACGUG
This 468-nucleotide ribosomal RNA is filed under the name uncultured bacterium. RNAcentral's name for it is "partial 16S ribosomal RNA". It matches the Rfam family "Bacterial small subunit ribosomal RNA", at positions 28 to 507 of the family's 1533-position model. The record is from RNAcentral.